GACGAACGCUGGCGGCGUGCUUAACACAUGCAAGUCGAACGGGCCCGCCCCUGUUUUUGGGGGUGGGUUGAGUGGCGAACGGGUGAGUAUCACGUGAGUAACCUGCCCCCUGCUCCUGGAUAACUGCUUGAAAGGGCGGCUAAUACGGGGUGUGCCGGCUGGUCCGCAUGGGCCUGGUCGGGAUAGUUUCAUCUUCGGGUGUUUCGGUGGGGGAUGGGCUCGCGGCCUAUCAGCUUGUUGGUGGGGUGAUGGCCCACCAAGGCGGUGACGGGUAGCCGGCCUGAGAGGGUGGGCGGCCACACUGGGACUGAGACACGGCCCAGACUCCUGCGGGAGGCAGCAGUGGGGGGUAUUGGACAAUGGGCGGAAGCCUGAUGCAGCGACGUCGCGUGAGGGAUGGAGGCCUUCGGGUUGUGAACCUCUUUCUCCGGUGGUGAAGGCCCUGUCCGUUGCGGCGGGGUUGACGGUAGCCGGGGAUGAAGCGCCGGCUAACUACGUG
RNAcentral lists this ribosomal RNA (499 nucleotides) under uncultured bacterium. Its description in RNAcentral is "partial 16S ribosomal RNA". It matches the Rfam family "Bacterial small subunit ribosomal RNA", at positions 28 to 507 of the family's 1533-position model. The record is from RNAcentral.